UGGGGAAUAUUGGACAAUGGGGGCAACCCUGAUCCAGCCAUGCCGCGUGAGUGAAGAAGGCCUUAGGGUUGUAAAGCUCUUUCAGUCGUGACGAUGAUGACGGUAGCGACAGAAGAAGCCCCGGCUAACUCCGUGCCAGCAGCCGCGGUAAUACGGCGGGGGCAAGCGUUGUUCGGAUUUACUGGGCGUAAAGGGCGCGUAGGCCGGGUAUCAAGUUAGGGGUGAAAGCCCGGGGCUCAACCUCGGAACUGCCUUUAAAACUGAUACUCUAGAGUCCGGAAGAGGGUCGCGGAAUUCCCAGUGUAGAGGUGAAAUUCGUAGAUAUUGGGAAGAACACCGGUGGCGAAGGCGGCGACCUGGUCCGGUACUGACGCUGAUGGACGAAAGCUAGGGGAGCGAAAGGGAUUAGAUACCCGUGUAGUCG
RNAcentral lists this ribosomal RNA (424 nucleotides) under uncultured prokaryote. Its description in RNAcentral is "bacterial SSU rRNA". It matches the Rfam family "Bacterial small subunit ribosomal RNA", at positions 355 to 796 of the family's 1533-position model. The record is from RNAcentral.